RNAcentral lists this ribosomal RNA (253 nucleotides) under uncultured bacterium. RNAcentral's name for it is "partial 16S ribosomal RNA". It matches the Rfam family "Bacterial small subunit ribosomal RNA", at positions 524 to 776 of the family's 1533-position model. The record is from RNAcentral.
GACGAACCGUGCGAACGUUGUUCGGAAUCACUGGGCUUAAAGGGCGCGUAGGCGGGCGAUCAAGUCCGGGGUGAAAUCUUUCGGCUUAACCGGAAAAGGGCCUUGGAUACUGAUUGUCUCGAGGGUGGCAGGGGCAUGUGGAACUUCCGGUGGAGCGGUGAAAUGCGUUGAUAUCGGAAGGAACGCCGGUGGCGAAAGCGACGUGCUGGACCACUUCUGACGCUGAGGCGCGAAAGCCAGGGGAGCAAACGGG